ACGAGGCCGCGCGCCCAUGGCGGCAGAGCCAGGUGGCCAAGAGGCGGUAGUCCGCAGUCGGCCUACGGGCUCAAAGCACCUGCGACAAUGACGGCGCUUGUUGCGCCGAAUCUGGAGUCUGAUCUAUGCCCGUUCGUCUACAAUAACAUACCCGUAGCCAUUAUAAAUGGCAAUGCACACUAGUAUCACAACAGUGUACGUCCAAUGUGCUCCGUUACCUGUGCCAGCAUAUUCUCCGUUCAUUGGCGAACACGUGAUAACAGAGCUGUGUAUCGGGCUGAUGUCUACUACUCUGCGUGCUCCCAGGAUGUCAAAAUCAAGAUCACGUCUGGUCCGGAAUGUCGUCGCGCCUUGGACGUCUUCAGGAGGAUUUAGAGAACGGGUGUGUCAGGUGACCUUCAAUAAGCUGACGUACUAUGCUGUUUAUUAUCACGCGGAGACCAAUUUUCCGGACCUGUCUUGCGCAUCGUAAACCAUAUCCGUGAACUACCACUGCAACUGCUGUUCAGUGUCGACAAUCCUGGCGUAGGGCAGAUCAUGCAACAACAUGAAGAAUCGGUGCCUGCGCUUCGCAACACCCAGAUUUUAGAUCAAAGCGUACCCGUUCGCGCAGGAAUCCCACUGUACUGUCGCACGUGUCGAACACACGUAACAAGCGACGUGGCCGUCACGUCCAGACCUCUUUCAUGGUUCCUCUGCGGUUCGAUGCUGGCACUCAGCAUAUUGUAUCCAUGCUGCUGCCUGCUGCCCUGCUUGCCGGUAGUCAUGAAUGAAGUUCACAUCUGUCCGGUGUGUCACCAACCGUUGGGCGUCAUCCGAAAUCAAACACCGUAAUGCAAAGUAUUCUCUGCGGUGCAUCAUACGUGUGUCAGCACGGACAUGCCAAUAAACACUCCACAAAAGAAAGGAGGACUAGCUGCCUCUAGCCAGGACUAGCCAAAGGACUAGCCAAAGGACUAGCCACAAAGAAGAGGAGCACGAGGCCUCGCGCCA
Long non-coding RNA from Ornithodoros turicata, 993 nucleotides. RefSeq lists it as uncharacterized. The record is from RefSeq and is a predicted model, not a curated record. The transcript has 8 exons. NCBI's taxonomy places the organism in Eukaryota, Metazoa, Arthropoda, Arachnida, Ixodida, Argasidae.